ACUGUGGUCCGGGAUUAUUGGGGCGUAAGGGCUCGCAGGCGGGUUUCUUAAGUCUGAUGUGAAAGCCCCCGGCUCAACCGGKGAGGGUCAUUGGAAACUGGGAAACUUGAGUGCAGAAGAGGAGAGUGGAAUUCCACGUGUAGCGGUGAAAUGCGUAGAGAUGUGGAGGAACACCAGUGGCGAAGGCGACUCUCUGGUCUGUAACUGACGCUGAGGAGCGAAAGCGUGGGGAGCGAACAGGAUUAGAUACCCUGGUAGUCCACGCCGUAAACGAUGAGUGCUAAGUGUUAGGGGGUUUCCGCCCCUUAGUGCUGCAGCUAACGCAUUAAGCACUCCGCCUGGGGAGUACGGUCGCAAGACUGAAACUCAAAGGAAUUGACGGGGGCCCGCACAAGCGGUGGAGCAUGUGGUUUAAUUCGAAGCAACGCGAAGAACCUUACCAGGUCUUGACAUCCUCUGACAACCCUAGAGAUAGGGCUUUCCCUUCGGGGACAGAGUGACAGGUGGUGCAUGGUUGUCGUCAGCUCGUGUCGUGAGAUGUUGGGUUAAGUCCCGCAACGAGCGCAACCCUUGAUCUUAGUUGCCAGCAUUCAGUUGGGCACUCUAAGGUGACUGCCGGUGACAAACCGGAGGAAGGUGGGGAUGACGUCAAAUCAUCAUGCCCCUUAUGACCUGGCUACACACGUGCUACAAUGGGACAGAACAAGGGCUGCGAGACCGCAGGUUUAGCCAAUCCCACAAAUCUGUUCUCAGUUCGGAU
This 760-nucleotide ribosomal RNA is filed under the name Bacillus pumilus. Its description in RNAcentral is "bacterial SSU rRNA". It matches the Rfam family "Bacterial small subunit ribosomal RNA", at positions 537 to 1298 of the family's 1533-position model. The record is from RNAcentral. Lineage: Bacteria; Bacillati; Bacillota; Bacilli; Caryophanales; Bacillaceae.